UAGACUCCCUCUCUCCCUGCCUUAAGAGGAAGUAGAGUAGGUAACUUGAACAUCAUUUCUGAAAAUUUACUGACUCCUAAGUUAUUCUUAGUCACCCUUAUUUUAGCAUAAAUGAAUUUAGAUCCUUUCUUGAAAGAGGGAGUGGAUAUAAAAGGGUGUAAGAAUGGGAAAAAUAGAACUGAUAUAGUCAAUAUUAUCUUCAGAGUAUGGGAAAUCUGGAUGCCACGCAGAGCUGCAGGGCCUGACUUUGUGUUCCUACAGGCAAAACUAGAAGCCCUGGAAGGGGAAGAAAUGGGGAUGCAAUGGGAGCUACUCACCAUCUGAAGUGUAAGAACUCCAUGGAGAAAGACCAGCAGACUCACACACCAGGCCAUGCUGAGUGGUUACUCCUUCAAUGUUUGCUGAGAGAAUCCAUAAACGGGAUGCAACGCAGGAUGAGUUUGACCUGACUAGUGCCUUGUACAGCUGUCUAGGUCAGAAGAUGGAACUUUCAAGAGCAAAAAAGACCUAAAGCAGAAAUAACUAGUGGGUUCUAGAAAAUCAGGGUCUGGUUAACCUGACACCACCAAGAUGCUGGCUGCUUUGUGACUCGCAUCCCCCGAACCCCAUCACAGGUGGAAAAUACCUUUAAUUCCCCAUCCACAGAGGCCCGUGAGGUAUUUUCCAGGGCUCUCGACUCAGCAGGGCAGUGGGUGACUCUGCAGCCUCCUCCAGGAGCCACUGGAGACCCACCGAGCCCUGUGGGUCAGCGAGCCUGGUUCCCAGAGGGCAAAGUUGAUGGAGGACAGCUCCCCAGCGGGACUGUCCUUCUCCUGAGCUUAUUUCCUGCUGUGGGGGAGACACUGCUGGUCACUCCUUUGGAAGCAGGAACCAUCUGAAGAGCUCUGAUGUGAGUAUUUGUUGACUACUGAAGGGUCCCAGAAUAUGUACCCCAAAAUACACCUUUUGGGGAUCUGAAUUAUUUUGAGCUAAGGCUGUUGACAGCCAGGAGCUAUAGGGAAAGUUCUAAAAACAGAGCAUAGGUUCUCCUUUUUUAAAUGAAAUUUCCAUUUGUUAAAGGUGUUUCCCUGUCCAGUACCACAAAGAGGAGGGACUCUUAACAACACCCACUAAUACAGAAGGCACUGCCUUGAAUCUGCACAAUAAGCCUUACAAGGCAACCCUUGUCACAUACCUUC
This 1178-nucleotide long non-coding RNA is filed under the name Equus caballus (horse). Its description in RNAcentral is "lncRNA (ENSECAG00000050659.1)". Lineage: Eukaryota; Metazoa; Chordata; Mammalia; Perissodactyla; Equidae. The record is from RNAcentral.